Molecule: ribosomal RNA, 253 nt
Filed under: uncultured bacterium
Lineage: Bacteria
Description: partial 16S ribosomal RNA
Rfam family: Bacterial small subunit ribosomal RNA
Source: RNAcentral
UACGUAGGCAGCAAGCGUUGUUCGGAUUUACUGGGCGUAAAGGGCGCGUAGGCGGCGCAACAAGUCACUUGUGAAAUCUCCGGGCUUAACCCGGAGCGGUCAAGUGAUACUGUCGUGCUAGAGUGCAGAAGGGGCAACUGGAAUUCUCGGUGUAGCGGUGAAAUGCGUAGAUAUCGAGAGGAACACCUGCGGCGAAGGCGGGUUGCUGGGCUGACACUGACGCUGAGGCGCGAAAGCUAGGGGAGCGAACGGG